UUCAAGUAGCCCACAAUUUAGUUCAAGAACAGCUUCCAGCUGGGCAUAUUGAGCCUACUCUUAGCCCUUCAAACACUCCAAUCUUUGUGGUAAGGAAAAAAUCUGGCAAAUUGAACUGUGGAACUAAUGGGGGCUUUAUAGUCUGAACUUCCUUCUCCUACAGCUAUCUCGCUUGAUGAUCAAUUAACAGUAAUAGAUUUAAAAAAUUGUUUUUUUUCACUAUGCUGUUACAUCCAAAUGACUGUAAGAUAUUUGCUUUUAG
Molecule: small RNA, 262 nt
Filed under: Marmota monax (woodchuck)
Lineage: Eukaryota; Metazoa; Chordata; Mammalia; Rodentia; Sciuridae
Source: RNAcentral